GCUUGCCUGCGGUGUUGGUGAACUUCGAUUUAAUUCGAACCGAACACCUAUUCACAAAGGGAGCUCAAGAUAAAGGGGUCGACAUCAUGCCCGGCUUUUUCCGGGAAGAUGAAGAUCCUUUUGCGAGCACCCACCUGCCUUAUGCGGGUUCGUGAAAAAGUAGAAGGUAACCGCACAUGCGGGCUUCAG
This 189-nucleotide non-coding RNA is filed under the name Salisediminibacterium halotolerans. RNAcentral's name for it is "6S / SsrS RNA". It matches the Rfam family "6S / SsrS RNA". Rfam says of the family: E. coli 6S RNA was the first non coding RNA to be sequenced, but its function was unknown until recently. It consists of 184 nucleotides that fold into an extended hairpin structure with a large single-stranded internal bulge. The 6S RNA specifically associates with RNA polymerase holoenzyme containing the sigma70 specificity factor. The record is from RNAcentral. Lineage: Bacteria; Bacillati; Bacillota; Bacilli; Caryophanales; Bacillaceae.